UACGACUACAUAUCAGGCAUAUCAAUAAGCGGAGGAAAAGAAACUAACUAGGAUUCCCUCAGUAACGGCGAGUGAAGCGGGAAGAGCUCAAAUUUGAAAUCUUCAAGGUUCCACCUUGACGAAUUGUAGUUUAAAGAAGUGUUUUCUGUUGGAGUUUUGGUAAAAGUUCUUUGGAAUAGGACAUCAUAGAGGGUGAGAAUCCCGUAUUUGACCAUUAUUUUCAGCUGUGUGAUACACUUUCGAAGAGUCGGAUUGUUUGGGAAUGCAGUCCAAAAUGGGUGGUAAAUUUCAUCUAAAGCUAAAUAUUGGCGAGAGACCGAUAGCGAACAAGUACCGUGAGGGAAAGAUGAAAAGAACUUUGAAAAGAGAGUUAAACAGUACGUGAAAUUGUCAAAAGGGAAGCGUUUGACACCAGUGUUGUUUUCUCGAAAAUCAAUUAAAAAAAGUUGGAUUUUGUGUUGUAUUGACCUUAACAGCUUGCUUCACUCUUUUCCAGCUUUUUUUAAUGCACUUUUCGUUUAACAAGUCAACAUCAAUUUCUUUUGUUGUAAAAGGGUCAUUGGAAGGUGGCUUUCUCUUCGGAGAAAGUGUUUAUAGCCUUUGGCCUCUGCAAUCGGAGAGAUCGAGGUCUGCAGCGUAGAUCCUUCGGGGUUAGAUACAUAUGUGCUAAGCUACAGCUUUUCAUAGACAACUUGUUGACUAUGUUUAGUCUUGGGACUUACCUCGCUUAGUGCUAUUUUACCUACGCUUAGGAUGUUGAGCGCAUGUCUCUCUCU
This 776-nucleotide ribosomal RNA is filed under the name uncultured Neocallimastigales. RNAcentral describes it as "partial large subunit ribosomal RNA". It matches the Rfam family "Eukaryotic large subunit ribosomal RNA", at positions 24 to 616 of the family's 3401-position model. The record is from RNAcentral. Lineage: Eukaryota; Fungi; Neocallimastigomycota; Neocallimastigomycetes; Neocallimastigales.